ACUCAACAGUUGAAAGCUGACAAAAGAUGUUUGUCUAAUUGCCUAAGAAUACCAAUUUUCUUCUUACACAUCUAAAAAGAAGAGUCAAGGCUCUGUGCUUUCUUCCUGACAAAUGACUGAGACAGUUUGAGCAGAACCAAGUUUGGCAUUUGACUCUCUGGAUUUCCUCCAUCUGUUUUUAUCUUCUGUUCAGUCCCUUGGAGCUUAGGACUAUCUGGUCCUGAGGAGAUUGUGAGCUGGACCCCUUCCCUCAUGGAUCCCAGGCACCUGCUUUGCUCUGCCCUGCCCUUAGUCUGUGCACACUGAUGGUGUUCAUGAUUCCAUUUGUUGUCCCUGGAGGAUGAUCUCCCUUUGGAGACAUGAGUGGAAACCAUUAGUCCCAGGGGGUUUGCUGGCAGUAAGGUAACUGAAGUCAGUGAGUGGGUGAGAGGGAAAAGAGACAUAAUGCUUGAAAAUGUGAUAAAGUGAUAGGAUGUUAGAUCAAGUUGGAGCACUAGAGCCAGGGAAGGCGGAACCUGGAACCAGUUACAGCCACACGUGGGUUUGGCUGGAGCUUGGUCUCUGUAGGUUAACCUGUAUACAGGUAACCGUGUGCUCUGGUCUGCUCGGCAUGCUGCUGGCUUAUGCCUGUUGCUCAGAGCAAUUACCCAAAAUACCCCCUUUUACUCUCAAAAGGGUCCUGAUUUGGUGAUCAAUUAUAUUGUCAGCCUACAUACUCACCUCACUAGAUAUCCCAUCAGCAUUCCAAGAGGGUGCUGUGCUUGUCAGUACAGUAAAACAUGAACAUAAAGCUUCUAAAAUACCAAGAAACUAGUCUAGAACAGGGUAAGAGUUUUCCUUGAGAGGCAGUAGGCUUCCUAGUUCCGACCAUGUGUUCAAUUUUAAUCAUAUCCAGAUUUCUUUUGAUUCUUUUCUUUCUUCUUUCCUUCUGGCUAAAAAGGGUGGUUUUAAAAAUCAGUAUGAUACUGUGAACUGCUUUUUUACUAAAACGCAUAUUUAAUUAUUUCUCUGUUAAUGGAGAGUCAGAAUGCCUCUAGUCUAUGGCCAUUACAAACAGCACAUGGACAUGGAUUCUUCUGGAUUACCAUAUUUGUUUCUUCAUCUAACCAGCCUUCUAUACUUGAGUUUGUUCUAUCACUUAUGGCCUGAUACAGAACUACUAAUGGCUCUGAUGAUGCUCCACUCCAACCAUCUAUCCAGGUGUGAAGAACUGCAAGGGCUGUGAUUUUUUUGCUCUCGUGGCAAGCUUUUGAGCGCUGGUGAAAGACACAAGCCUCCUGGGUAAGAGACAAAGGACUUUAUUACUCACGACUCAGCCCACAGCAUGAGCAUCAGCAUAUUUGUGGAGUUCUGGCCCUGAAGUGCCAUGGGGAUGCCAGCACACACAGGGACUGUCUUGUAGGAGAAGAUCCCUGAGCUUCGAGCUUCGUGAACCUAAAUCUUUUAUAAUAGGCAGAUCUAAAACAAAGUAAGCUCCAAGCUGAUCAAGCCCCCAGCAACACAGGAUGCCCCCGAAGAGCACGGGCAUUUAAUUGGACCUGCGCUCGCCUCGCCUGGCCACUAGAGGGCGGCCUCGCCCACCGAAUGUGUCGGGAGGCCCAGCCCUCCCCGCCCCCGG
Canis lupus familiaris (dog) is the source of this 1618-nucleotide long non-coding RNA. RefSeq lists it as uncharacterized. NCBI's taxonomy places the organism in Eukaryota, Metazoa, Chordata, Mammalia, Carnivora, Canidae. The record is from RefSeq and is a predicted model, not a curated record. The transcript is spliced from 5 exons.